GACUACAAUGCUUUGGUUAGUCCAUUGCAGUUAAAUUGAAAUUUAUUGCCGUGCGCGAACACAUUGUUAUCAAUAUCGUGUUCGUCCUUGCGCUAGCGUGCCUGUGGAGGCGGUGAUAUAUUAUUACUUACAUCUUUGAGCUUACAUCUUUGUUUGAAUCCCGUUUUAACAUUUCGUUUCUUCUCAUCGUUAUUGAUUAAAGAUGGCUCGUUUUACCACCCGCCAAUAUCACUACGUAUGAAGCCGGUGGGGAUUAGCGGGCGAACGUACUUGGGACAAAAACAAAAUUUUCGAAACAGAUACAUAGCAAAUGCAUAGUUGUAGAGCGGUUUUGGUAUGCAAACAAAGAGAAUAUAAAUCAUGUUUUAGAAACAGAAUGUUUCAUUUCUAAUGUUGCCAUCCCAUUUUGGUUUGGCUGCGGAUGAGAUUGUUGAAAAAUAAUGUAAAAUAGACUUGAUCAUAGUCUGACGUGUUGUGCAUUUAGUAUCAAUUCACGCGCAUAGAUAAAGGAUAUUCAGAAGGCCAUGGAGUACGGGGGAAGUUUUAAGGUGCAUUUUCCAAGAGAAGCGGGGGAAAUAUCCCAAAGCUAUUACAAUAAGAUUGAAAAUGAAGUAUUCUUACUUUUGUAAACUUGAUAAAAAUGGGGGCUCUUUUUAUUGCUUUUUGAUUUAAAACAUUUAUGGAAAACCACAGUUUGUGACAAAAAAAGGAAAAAUUACUCUAAUUGUUGUUCAGUAACACCGAUAUAAAAAACAAUUGUUUUUGGGGUCUUAAAUUUAUUUUGUGAAAUUUCUACUGACUAAUAGACAAGAGCGCAUUUGUAGCUAUCAUAUAUAUCACAGAAAUAGAAAAAUAAAGUUAUAGAAUACAGAUCACGAAAAAAAAAAAUGGAGAUCCGACGAGUGCACACUAACAAUUUGAGCGAAGUCGAAUAAAACCUUGGAAAGGCAUCGCCUGUAUGGAUGGAGUAUAUAAACCGCCAAAACGAUGACAUGGGAAUUGUAGUUCUUAGUUGAGAUAUGAAUUCUACAUUGCAUGGCAAUAAAAAAUCAGUGAAUUUCCCCUUAUUGAGCAUAGAGUACCUAUCCAUUUGUUGAAUCUCAUUUGUCUCAAUUAACGCGUAUAAUUCUUGUUCCAAAGUAUCGAGAAAGUGCUAUUUAAGGCACUAGCCCCUAGACGAAACUGAAACUCACAAAUAACAGGUAGUGCAAAUAUAGGCGUCGGCAGUUGCGUAAAUUUGUUCUGAGGGGAUUCAAUAUUGGGGAAAGGUUAAUUUGCGCUUCAAAAAGAGAGAAUAUUAUGUUAAAGAAAACAUCCUAAGCCAGCUAUGACCGUUCUAUUACCAAUCCUAUAUUUGAUUCUUCAAAAUCACCGACUUUUAUAAAGUCUUUUGUCAUAUCGGUAGUUUUCACAUACUUAUGAGUUCGUUAUAUGCCGAAAAACGACAUAAUAUACUUUGUUCCAUAACCUUUGGAAAAAGCUAU
Long non-coding RNA from Nematostella vectensis (starlet sea anemone), 1484 nucleotides. RefSeq lists it as uncharacterized. The transcript is spliced from 2 exons. The record is from RefSeq and is a predicted model, not a curated record. NCBI's taxonomy places the organism in Eukaryota, Metazoa, Cnidaria, Anthozoa, Actiniaria, Edwardsiidae.